AGAGUUUGAUCAUGGCUCAGGACGAACGCUGGCGGCGUGCUUAACACAUGCAAGUCGAGCGAUGAGAUCACUUCGGUGAAGGAUUAGCGGCGAACGGGUGAGGAACACGUGAAGAAUCUGCCUUCAACUCUGGGAUAACUCCGGGAAACCGGGGCUAAUACCGGAUAUGAGCCUUGAUCGCAUGAUCGGGGCUGGAAAGUUUUUCGGUUGAAGAUGACUUCGCGGCCUAUCAGCUUGUUGGUGAGGUAAUGGCUCACCAAGGCGACGACGGGUAGCCGGCCUGAGAGGGCGACCGGCCACACUGGGACUGAGACACGGCCCAGACUCCUACGGGAGGCAGCAGUGGGGAAUAUUGGGCAAUGGAGGAAACUCUGACCCAGCGACGCCGCGUGCGGGAUGAAGGCCUUCGGGUUGUAAACCGCUUUCAGCAGGGAAUAAGCGCAAGUGAAGGUACCUGCAGAAGAAGCACCGGCUAACUAUGUGCCAGCAGCCGCGGUAAUACAUAGGGUGCAAGCGUUGUCCGGAAUUAUUGGGCGUAAAGAGCUCGUAGGUGGUUUGUUACGUCGGUUGUGAAAUUCAGGGGCUCAACCCCUGACUUGCAGCCGAUACGGGCAAGCUAGAGUUUGGUAGGGGAGACUGGAAUUCCUGGUGUAGCGGUGGAAUGCGCAGAUAUCAGGAGGAACACCGAUGGCGAAGGCAGGUCUCUGGGCCAAUACUGACACUGAGGAGCGAAAGCGUGGGGAGCGAACAGGAUUAGAUACCCUGGUAGUCCACGCCGUAAACGGUGGGCGCUAGUUGUGCGAACCUUCCACGGU
Molecule: ribosomal RNA, 815 nt
Filed under: uncultured bacterium
Lineage: Bacteria
Description: bacterial SSU rRNA
Rfam family: Bacterial small subunit ribosomal RNA
Source: RNAcentral